CCAGACUCCUACGGGAGGCCGCCGUGAGGCCUCUUGGUCCAUGGCCGCCGGGCUGAACCCGCCCCGUCGCGUGCGGGCUGACGGUCCUCUGGAUUGUAAACCUCUUUUGUCAGGGCGCCACGGGCGCCCCGUGUGGCGCUUUGCGCGUCCCUGAAGCCCACGCAUCGGCUCACUCCGUGCCAGCCGCCGCGGUAAUACGGCGGCUGCGAGCGUUCUCCGGAUUUAUUGGGUUUAAAGGGUGCGCAGGCGGAAGGGCAAGUCAGCGGGAAAAUGUCGGGGCGCAACCCCGGCGGGCCGGGGAAACGGGCGGUCUUGAGGGAGCGAGAAGUAGGCGGAAUGCGUGGGGUAGCGGUGAAAGGCAUAGAUAUCACGCAGAACUCCGAUUGCGAAGGCAGCAUACCGGCGCUCAACUGACGCG
This 418-nucleotide ribosomal RNA is filed under the name uncultured bacterium. RNAcentral's name for it is "bacterial SSU rRNA". It matches the Rfam family "Bacterial small subunit ribosomal RNA", at positions 331 to 747 of the family's 1533-position model. The record is from RNAcentral.